Molecule: ribosomal RNA, 253 nt
Filed under: uncultured bacterium
Lineage: Bacteria
Description: partial 16S ribosomal RNA
Rfam family: Bacterial small subunit ribosomal RNA
Source: RNAcentral
UACAGAGGGUGCAAACGUUGCUCGGAAUUAUUGGGCGUAAAGCGCACGUAGGCGGACUUUCAAGUCGGAUGUGAAAGCCCUCGGCUUAACCGAGGAAGUGCAUUCGAAACUGAAAGUCUUGAGUAUGGUAGAGGAUUGCGGAAUUCCCGGUGUAGAGGUGAAAUUCGUAGAUAUCGGGAGGAACAUCAGUGGCGAAGGCGGCAAUCUGGGCCAAUACUGACGCUGAGGUGCGAAAGCGUGGGGAGCAAACAGG